UACGAACCGUCCAAACGUUAUUCGGAAUCAUUGGGCUUAAAGGGUAUGUAGGCGGCGCUGUUAGUCAGGUGUGAAAUCCCUCGGCUCAACCGAGGAAUUGCGCCCGAAACUGCAGUGCUCGAGGGAGACAGAGGUAAGCGGAACUGAUGGUGGAGCGGUGAAAUGCGUUGAUAUCAUCAGGAACACCGGUGGCGAAAGCGGCUUACUGGGUCUCUUCUGACGCUGAGAUACGAAAGCUAGGGGAGCGAAGGG
RNAcentral lists this ribosomal RNA (252 nucleotides) under uncultured prokaryote. RNAcentral's name for it is "partial 16S ribosomal RNA". It matches the Rfam family "Bacterial small subunit ribosomal RNA", at positions 524 to 775 of the family's 1533-position model. The record is from RNAcentral.